Long non-coding RNA from Balaenoptera musculus (blue whale), 1261 nucleotides. RefSeq lists it as uncharacterized. The record is from RefSeq and is a predicted model, not a curated record. Lineage: Eukaryota; Metazoa; Chordata; Mammalia; Artiodactyla; Balaenopteridae. The transcript is spliced from 3 exons.
CUCCGUACUACCCAGAAAGAGCCUUUCCAGUGUGAAUCAUAAGACCAGUGCCCGCUGAAAACCCAAAGGCUCCUCCUGGCGGCUGGAGAAAGCCCAGGCUCCUUUCCCCGGGACGCAGGACACCGCGUGAUGCAGCUUCUGGGGGCCUCACCAGUUUCAUUUCCUGAUGCUCCAUCCCGUGCUUCGAUCCUACCUGACCAGAAUGAAUCAGAGUUGGAGUUUGACAGAGGGGCAACAACAGAGGUUACUUAUUACUAACAGAACCAUCCCCCACUGCCACAGCAGCAGUUCAUGGAUUCUAAGAAUGUCAGCUCAGCUUUCCAGGUUUCCAGAAUGCUCUCAAAUUUUCCAUUGAUCUGUCCAGGCGUAAGCAACGAUCUGGGAAAGCACGUAUGGCAGUGCCUCUGAGAAGACACAAGAAGGAAGGCCUGGAGCCAGUGUAGGACAGUCGCUGUCGGGAACCAAGGGUAAGUUCCCAUCUGACGAUGUCAAAAUGACUUGUCUCUGUCUUACGAGAUUAAGGAGAUGCUGUAUUGUCUGAACAGCCUCAGAUAUGAAGCAACUUGGGCAGACGCUCCCCACCCCCCCCACCAUCCCUCAUCCCCGUCUUUGAUAAUGAUCGAGGUGACAAGCUGUUAUGGGGCCCAAGGUUGACAGCACACAGAAAAAGUGGCUUGAGCCAAAAGGCAGGAGUUAAUAGAGAUGAACCCAUCAAGGGCUGUUGAAUGAAUGUCAUUUUAACUUAUUUCUAAAGUGGGACUCGGAGCCUAUGUCCCGCACACCGCUCCCAGCCACCUCCAGCAUCUUCCCGAAGCGCUGGCUUUCCCGCUCACCUCGCAGGUGCAGGAAGGUGCCGAGUGCCUCAGCCCGGGCUUCCUCACUGCUCACCUCUUCCUUACCCUUUCAUACCACCUGCCAAGCCGCCCUGCACCCCGUGAGACAGAGCCAGCUCCAGGCUUUCCUUCUCCGGCUUCCCUCCUCACCAUCCCUCUAGUUGCACAAGGCCCUCAAAAGUGGUAUUUCACAGCCUCUGGUUCUGAGCUGGGAGGUCAGUGCAUUCCCCAGCACGUGGUCUUUUCAUUUAUUUUUAGAAGAAUGUUAUCUUUAGUCCUUGCAACAAAUCUGUGUUGUAGGUGGAGUUUGCAGGUGGGGAAAUUGAGGCUUAGAAGAAGCCCAGUGAUUUGCAUAGGGCCAUGCAGCCCAGAGGUGGCAGAGCAGGGACCCUGGCUGCUGUGGCUGGCUUAGUUCUCAGUCACCCUAC